AGUAACGCGUGGGUAACCUACCCUGUACACACGGAUAACAUACCGAAAGGUAUGCUAAUACGGGAUAAUAUAUUUGAGAGGCAUCUCUUGAAUAUCAAAGGUGAGCCAGUACAGGAUGGACCCGCGUCUGAUUAGCUAGUUGGUAAGGUAACGGCUUACCAAGGCGACGAUCAGUAGCCGACCUGAGAGGGUGAUCGGCCACAUUGGAACUGAGACACGGUCCAAACUCCUACGGGAGGCAGCAGUGGGGAAUAUUGCACAAUGGGCGAAAGCCUGAUGCAGCAACGCCGCGUGAGUGAUGAAGGCCUUCGGGUCGUAAAACUCUGUCCUCAAGGAAGAUAAUGACGGUACUUGAGGAGGAAGCCCCGGCUAACUACGUGCCAGCAGCCGCGGUAAUACGUAGGGGGCUAGCGUUAUCCGGAUUUACUGGGCGUAAAGGGUGCGUAGGCGGUCUUUCAAGUCAGGAGUGAAAGGCUACGGCUCAACCGUAGUAAGCUCUUGAAACUGGGAGACUUGAGUGCAGGAGAGGAGAGUGGAAUUCCUAGUGUAGCGGUGAAAUGCGUAGAUAUUAGGAGGAACACCAGUUGCGAAGGCGGCUCUCUGGACUGUAACUGACGCUGAGGCACGAAAGCGUGGGGAGCAAACAGGAUUAGAUACCCUGGUAGUCCACGCUGUAAACGAUGAGUAC
Molecule: ribosomal RNA, 688 nt
Filed under: Clostridioides difficile
Lineage: Bacteria; Bacillati; Bacillota; Clostridia; Peptostreptococcales; Peptostreptococcaceae
Description: bacterial SSU rRNA
Rfam family: Bacterial small subunit ribosomal RNA
Source: RNAcentral